CAAGAAGCUGUAAUCCUGAUGAACAAAACAUGUCUUUCGUUGAUGUCAGUGAAAUCAUAGUGAGUCAUGGUUAUUGGGUGAACUUCUUUAAAUCAUUUUAUUAACAGAAAGUUCAGUAAACGAUGAUACAUUA
This is a small nucleolar RNA of Papaver somniferum (opium poppy), 133 nucleotides long. RefSeq annotates it as small nucleolar RNA snoR74. The transcript has a single exon. The record is from RefSeq and is a predicted model, not a curated record. Lineage: Eukaryota; Viridiplantae; Streptophyta; Magnoliopsida; Ranunculales; Papaveraceae.